AGGCCAUAACAUUUAAAAUCACCGAAUGCUACUCAUCUGUGAUCCCCACCAUUUUAAAAAUCAAGGUACCUUCCCUUCCAUCUUCCUUUAUCAAUUCACUUCUGUUGCAGAGACGUGGCGAGUGUGGUGAGCAUUCGCCGAUAUCACAAUGGUCAACGGACGAGUACCCACAGUCUGUUCAAAGACUUACGUGACCCCCAGACGUCCCUAUGAAAAGGCACGUUUAGAUCAGGAAUUGAAAAUCAUCGGUGAAUAUGGUUUGAGGUGCAAACGUGAAGUAUGGAGCGUCAAAUACUCCCUCGCCAAGAUCCGUAAAGCCGCCAGAGAACUUCUUACUCUUGAAGAGAAAGACCCCAAACGUCUUUUCGAAGGUAAUGCCCUCCUUCGUAGGUUGGUCCGUAUCGGAGUCCUCGACGAGAACAGGAUGAAGCUCGAUUACGUGUUGGGUUUGAAAAUUGAAGAUUUCUUGGAACGUCGUCUCCAGACCCAGGUAUUCAAGUUGGGAUUGGCAAAGUCCAUCCAUCACGCCAGAGUACUCAUCAGACAGAGACACAUCCGGUAAAUUAUCCCUUUUCGCUAAAUCGUUGGCUUUGUGUAAUUUUCUUGUGGGACCACUUAGUCUCGGUUCAUCCGAGCUAACGCCCCGAAAUAAUUGGUACCUGAGUCGUUGCCAGGUCCAGUGUAAGGAAACAGGUGGUUAACAUCCCAUCCUUCGUGGUCAGGUUGGACUCUCAGAAGCACAUCGACUUCAGCCUCAAAUCGCCCUUCGGUGGUGGUCGUCCUGGACGUGUCAAGAGGAAGAACCUCAGGAAGGGUGCCAGCGGUGCUGCAGCCAAAGAAGAGGAAGAAGAUUAGAAUAGUUAUUGUUGUUUACCUGUUUUGGUAAUAAAAUGAAAAUGUGAAAA
RNA transcript from Coccinella septempunctata (seven-spotted ladybird), 905 nucleotides. It is a transcript of the gene named 40S ribosomal protein S9, with no coding region annotated. The record is from RefSeq and is a predicted model, not a curated record. The transcript has 4 exons. Lineage: Eukaryota; Metazoa; Arthropoda; Insecta; Coleoptera; Coccinellidae.